UCAACAGAAAGAGCCUGGCACGGUGGC
RNAcentral lists this non-coding RNA (27 nucleotides) under Homo sapiens (human). The record is from RNAcentral. Lineage: Eukaryota; Metazoa; Chordata; Mammalia; Primates; Hominidae.